This 794-nucleotide ribosomal RNA is filed under the name uncultured bacterium. Its description in RNAcentral is "bacterial SSU rRNA". It matches the Rfam family "Bacterial small subunit ribosomal RNA", at positions 8 to 796 of the family's 1533-position model. The record is from RNAcentral.
AGAGUUUGAUCCUGGCUCAGGAUGAACGCUAGCGGCAGGCUUAAUACAUGCAAGUCGUACGGGAUCCGAGAUAGCAAUAUCUUGGUGAGAGUGGCGCACGGGUGCGUAACACGUAUGCAACCUACCUAUAACCGGGACACAACCUCGAGAAAUUGUGGCUAAUAUCCCAUAACACUGCGAAGUGGCAUCAUUUUGCAGUUAAAACUCCGGUGGUUAUAGAUGGGCAUGCGCGACAUUAGCUAGUUGGUGAGGUAACGGCCCACCAAGGCUACGAUGUCUAGGGGUUCUGAGAGGAUUAUCCCCCACACUGGUACUGAGACACGGACCAGACUCCUACGGGAGGCAGCAGUAAGGAAUAUUGGUCAAUGGGCGCAAGCCUGAACCAGCCAUGCCGCGUGAAGGAUGACGGCCCUAUGGGUUGUAAACUUCUUUUGUACGGGAAAAAACCACCGGUCGUGUAUCGGUGCUGAUGGUACCGUAAGAAUAAGCAUCGGCUAACUCCGUGCCAGCAGCCGCGGUAAUACGGAGGAUGCAAGCGUUAUCCGGAUUCAUUGGGUUUAAAGGGUGCGCAGGCGGAAUAAUAAGUCAGUGGUGAAAUCCUGCCGCUUAACGGUAGAAUUGCCAUUGAUACUGAAAAGCUUGAGUACAUUUGAGGUAAGCGGAAUGUGUAGUGUAGCGGUGAAAUGCUUAGAUAUUACACAGAACACCAAUUGCGAAGGCAGCUUACUAAACUGAUACUGACGCUGAUGCACGAAAGCGUGGGGAGCGAACAGGAUUAGAUACCCUGGUAGUCC